Alligator sinensis (Chinese alligator) is the source of this 315-nucleotide long non-coding RNA. RefSeq lists it as uncharacterized. NCBI's taxonomy places the organism in Eukaryota, Metazoa, Chordata, Crocodylia, Alligatoridae. The transcript has 3 exons. The record is from RefSeq and is a predicted model, not a curated record.
CAAAGAAGCAGGCUGCCUAUAACAGUUCUCUGUUCUUGAGGACUCUGUUCUGGAGCCUGGGAUGUUAUAUGGACAGCCAUGUUAAAGACUACAAGGUGAUCGUAUGUUAUGGUAAUGAGGUCCACAUAAGCAUCACAGCUAAAGAAGAUGACAUCAGUUUUCAGAUUGCUCUGCAUUGUACUGAUUUACUACCAAAAUGCAUAAUAAGCCAGCUGUUCAAUCUAACUCAACUUACUGAGGACAGUUUUGAAAGGCCAAAUCACUGGAACUGUGUCAACCUAGCAGCCACCUGCAAUACAGUUAACCACCAAUGAC